RNAcentral lists this ribosomal RNA (497 nucleotides) under uncultured bacterium. RNAcentral's name for it is "partial 16S ribosomal RNA". It matches the Rfam family "Bacterial small subunit ribosomal RNA", at positions 28 to 507 of the family's 1533-position model. The record is from RNAcentral.
GAUGAACGCUGGCGGCGUGCCUAAUACAUGCAAGUCGAGCGAACAGACGAGGAGCUUGCUCCUCUUACGUUAGCGGCGGAUGGGUGAGUAACACGUGGAUAACCUACCUAUAAGACUGGGAUAACUUCUGGAAACCGUAUCGAAUACCGGAUAAUAUAUUGAACCGCAUUGUUCAUUAGUGAAAGACGGUUUUGCUGUCACUUAUAGAUGGAUCCGCGCCGCAUUAGCUAGUUGGUAAGUUAACGGCUUACCAAGGCAACCAUGCGUAGCCGACCUGAUAGGGUGAACGGCGACACAGGAACUGAGACACAGUCAGGACUCCUACGGGAGGCAGCAGUAGGAAAUCUUACGCAAUGGACGAAAGCAUGACGGAGCAACGCCGCGUGAGUGAUGAAGGUCUUCGGAUCGUAAAAAACUGUUAUUAGGGAAGAAAAAAUGUGUAAGUAACUAUGCACGUCUUGAAGGUACCUAAUCAGAAAGCCACGGCUAACUACGUG